UCUUUGAAAUUUAUCCAAUGCAGUCACCGAUUUACUUACUUCUAAGUUGAAGAUAUCAUCCUUCAUGUAUCUCUCGAUGCAUAAUUUGUGUAUCACUUCAGCGAAGCAGGUUAGGGUUACCUACACAUCCACUCUCAAUUUCAAUCAUAAAUGUAUUCAUUGAAAUGAUUGAUUUAUUCCACUAGAUCAUCCAAUCUUAU
RNAcentral lists this long non-coding RNA (200 nucleotides) under Trifolium pratense (red clover). RNAcentral's name for it is "long non-coding RNA (TPRA_LNC011081)". Lineage: Eukaryota; Viridiplantae; Streptophyta; Magnoliopsida; Fabales; Fabaceae. The record is from RNAcentral.